Long non-coding RNA from Mus pahari (shrew mouse), 937 nucleotides. RefSeq lists it as uncharacterized. Lineage: Eukaryota; Metazoa; Chordata; Mammalia; Rodentia; Muridae. The record is from RefSeq and is a predicted model, not a curated record. The transcript is spliced from 3 exons.
GAAAGGAGCCCAAGUCCACAGCCCUAUAAAUGCACAGCUCAUCUGCAGCAAACACCCUGCACCCUCACCCUGAGCCUCUGGAUCUCUCUUCUGCAUCCAAGACCAGCACAAUGCCCUCAUCGGCCUGUCCCAAACCCCACGGUCAAGAGUGGCCCACCAGCUCAGACCAUCCUCCCUGGAGCAGCUCUUCCUCAAACACCAUGCCAUCUCUGUUUCUGGGGACAGCGAUUCAGUGACACAGCCUGAGCAGCAGAGCCAAGGGAUGAGACCACAGGAGUAGCUCUAGAUAGCAGAACUCUCCCAUGUACAGAUGAUAGGAACAGGCCUGGCUGAUGCCUUGGUCAACCAAGAAAUCUCACAUCGAGGGAAUCUAGUCCUGUAAUGAGUAGCCAUAACAGGGGAGGUAGCCUCCACAAGGCCAGAAGGAAAUAUAAAACUUUGAAAAGUUAGAGUGUUCAAUUCAACUUAGCUAGCUGGCUAGUAACCAGUAAAGAUGGGAAAGUGGGGAAAGAGGAAGGGGUGAAAAUUAGCAGGAGUGGGAUGGUCAUAUAGAAGGCAAAUGAGGGUAUAGCAAAAUGAGAGGAGGAAAAACAGGAGUGCUGAAGAACGGGGUUAAGCAGGCAUACACUGGCAUCUAAAGCCCCUGCAGCGGAGAGGUGGGAUACAUCUUAACUCCAAACAAGAUGAAAGUAGAAGAGAUUUAAUUUGAACACAGUGAUUCCCUAAAUGUUACAGUAACGAGAAAAGAGCUGAAUACUAAGAUUCUAACGGUGUAAAAUAAACACUAGGGGUUCACAGGUACUCAAGUACGCAUGUACUCCAUGCCCUCUGCAGGCCCAGGUCCAGUAAAGCUGGCACCUAUGAACCUUGCUCAUCCAAACCCCAUUCUCAAAGACAUAGUUGGAUUUUUUUUUAAUUGAAAAUAGACUAUUCUCUC